This 253-nucleotide ribosomal RNA is filed under the name uncultured bacterium. RNAcentral's name for it is "partial 16S ribosomal RNA". It matches the Rfam family "Bacterial small subunit ribosomal RNA", at positions 524 to 776 of the family's 1533-position model. The record is from RNAcentral.
UACAGAGGGGGCAAGCGUUGUCCGGAUUUACUGGGCGUACAGCGCGCGCAGGCGGGUGGUGACGUGCCGUGUGACAAGCCGCAGCUUAACUGCGGAGGGCCAUGGUAGACGCACCGCCUGGAGGCAGGGAGAGGGAUGUGGAAUACCCGGUGGAGCGGUGAAAUGCGUAGAGAUCGGGUGGAACACCAGCGGCGAAGGCGGCAUCCUGGUCCUGACCUGACGCUGAGGCGCGAGAGCGUGGGGAGCGAACCGG